AUGUCAUAGAUGCGCCGAUGUUUAUCACACACUUCUAAGAUGCCAUCGAUAGCUGUAGUGAUCUCUGCACAAGCAACAUAAACGUUUAACAGAUGACUCACUCCCAAAGUUGUUUUGCUGUGUAUUUCGAUUUCAAGAAACGCUGCUCGUUUUCUGCACGAAAAUGUAUGAGCCUGCGUGUUUCCUCAGGAGUCCCUACAUACAAUACUGAUGAAUAAGCACACAAACUGAAUGCACUUUUUGUUUAUAUCAUGUAACGUACAUGUAUUUAUGGACGUAACCACAACAAAACAAUACAUUGAUCAGGCAUGUGGCAAAAAGACAAGUUAGCUGCCACCGGAUUUGAAUUUAUGUUGUCAAAUCAAUGCGGGUUUCAAUAAAAUAUAAAAAAAUAUGUUGUGGAACUAUCAUAAAGUAAAAAACAUUAACGAACUUUUUUCAUAGCGAUUUUAACAAAUCUUUUUUUCGGAGAACAUAACCAUAUACAUGAACACAAGAUUAAAGGCAACAUAAAACAAGUGAUUAUUUAUUACUAAAAUACUGUUUACCGUAAGAAAAUACUUACAUUUAUGGGUCUCUCUGCUCGCUCGGUCGGCCAUGUUGGAAAUUUAUCAUACCCCUUCGUCUGAAGUGUGGUCCC
Megalobrama amblycephala (Wuchang bream) is the source of this 640-nucleotide long non-coding RNA. RefSeq lists it as uncharacterized. The transcript has 2 exons. NCBI's taxonomy places the organism in Eukaryota, Metazoa, Chordata, Actinopteri, Cypriniformes, Xenocyprididae. The record is from RefSeq and is a predicted model, not a curated record.